UAGGCAGUAGCUCAGUGGUAGGGCUCCCGCUUCGUAUGCGGGAGACCUGGGUUAGAUUCGCGGCCGCUUAC
Toxocara canis (dog roundworm) is the source of this 71-nucleotide transfer RNA. It matches the Rfam family "tRNA". From Rfam's summary of the family: Transfer RNA (tRNA) molecules are approximately 80 nucleotides in length. Their secondary structure includes four short double-helical elements and three loops (D, anti-codon, and T loops). NCBI's taxonomy places the organism in Eukaryota, Metazoa, Nematoda, Chromadorea, Rhabditida, Toxocaridae. The record is from Rfam.